This 489-nucleotide unclassified non-coding RNA is filed under the name Ptychomitrium drummondii. RNAcentral's name for it is "partial contains tRNA-Leu, trnL-trnF intergenic spacer, and tRNA-Phe". The stretch from base 9 to 299 matches the Rfam family "Group I catalytic intron". From Rfam's summary of the family: Group I catalytic introns are large self-splicing ribozymes. They catalyse their own excision from mRNA, tRNA and rRNA precursors in a wide range of organisms. The core secondary structure consists of 9 paired regions (P1-P9). Lineage: Eukaryota; Viridiplantae; Streptophyta; Bryopsida; Grimmiales; Ptychomitriaceae. The record is from RNAcentral.
GGUAGACGCUACGGACUUAAAUAAUUUGAGCUUUAGUAWAAAAAUUUAUUAAAUGCUAGCUUUCAGAUUCAGGGAAACUUAAGUUGAAAAAAAAAUAUAUAAGCAAUCCUGAGCCAAAUCUUAUUAAGAUAGGUGCAGAGACUCAAUGGAAGCUAUCCUAAUGCAAAAAGUUUCUAAAAUUUAUUUAAUUAAAUUUUAGAAAUUAAUAAAAAUAAAAAAAAAAAAUUUUAGUUAAAUGUUAUUUUUUUAAACAACAAGCAAGGAUAAAGAGAGAGUCCAAUUUUACAUGUUAAUUUUAACAAUAAUUUAAAUUGUAGUAAAAAGAAAAUCCGUUGGUUUAUUGACCGUGAGGGUUCAAGUCCCUCUACCCCCAAAACUCGAAAGUUUUUUUAUUGACAAAAGCUUUCAAUUUAUGUUAUAAUAUUUCAAAUAGAAUUUCGCCGGAAUAGCUCAGUUGGUAGAGCAGAGGACUGAAAAUCCUCGUGUCAC